This 447-nucleotide ribosomal RNA is filed under the name uncultured Acidovorax sp. RNAcentral's name for it is "bacterial SSU rRNA". It matches the Rfam family "Bacterial small subunit ribosomal RNA", at positions 933 to 1382 of the family's 1533-position model. Lineage: Bacteria; Pseudomonadati; Pseudomonadota; Betaproteobacteria; Burkholderiales; Comamonadaceae. The record is from RNAcentral.
UGGAUGAUGUGGUUUAAUUCGAUGCAACGCGAAAACCUUACCACCUUUGACAUGUACGGAAUCCUUUAGAGAUAGAGGAGUGCUCGAAAGAGAACCGUAACACAGGUGCUGCAUGGCUGUCGUCAGCUCGUGUCGUGAGAUGUUGGGUUAAGUCCCGCAACGAGCGCAACCCUUGUCAUUAGUUGCUACAUUCAGUUGGGCACUCUAAUGAGACUGCCGGUGACAAACCGGAGGAAGGUGGGGAUGACGUCAAGCCCUCAUGGCCCUUAUAGGUGGGGCUACACACGUCAUACAAUGGAUGGUACAAAGGGUCGCCAACCCGCGAGGGGGAGCCAAUCCCAUAAAGCCAUUCGUAGUCCGGAUCGCAGUCUGCAACUCGACUGCGUGAAGUCGGAAUCGCUAGUAAUCGUGGAUCAGAAUGUCACGGUGAAUACGUUCCCGGGUCUU